Molecule: microRNA precursor, 1732 nt
Organism: Caenorhabditis elegans
Lineage: Eukaryota; Metazoa; Nematoda; Chromadorea; Rhabditida; Rhabditidae
Source: Ensembl
ACUCGGAUGUCCACAGUCUGUCCACUUUCAAUUCCUCUUCAUUCGUGCAGCCGUUUUUUGCUGUGACGUAGUAGUGGGUAUAUCUUUCUCGUGAAAUAACAUGUUGUGUUCUUCGAGUGAAUAUAUUCUUUGAGGCUUUUUUAAGGCAGAUUUUGAAACAAUAUAGCAAAAUUUAUUGCUCUAUAAUGAAACUAAAAAAUUACAACUUUUAACUACAAAAACAUGCAAAAAAAUGGUAUAAUUUGAGGUUUACCUAAUUUUAAUUUUGAUUUUUCAAACAUUUAAACAUCCAUAAAAAAAAUACAAAAUCAUUUUUUGGCAUCAUUUCUCCUAUUUUAAAUAAUUUUAUUUUAAAAAUUAGCUUCUCAACAUUGGAAAAAAUGAUCGAACAUGCAACUUUUCUAGCUAUAAUUGAAAAUCUGUCAUUGAGCAAUUAAUAUAGACCCAUUUUUUCAACACCCAUACCUUUCUUAUCAGUUUCCCUCUUGCCAUCUUUCGUGUACAUUUGCAACAUUUUCUGGAUCAUCAAUCAAGUGUGCACUGACCACUCUCUCUCUCCUCCUAUUUCCCUCCUUCUAAAUUCGUCUAGGCGUCGUUUGCGUAUGUGUAUGUAGCGGCAGGCACUGCCCCGUUUCACGCACUUUUGCCUGAUACCAUGGAGGACGACGGCGCCCGGUACUGCCGCCCGGGCCCGCGGUUCGCAACAAUGGAGCAUACGGAGACGAAGAGACGCAGCGAACCGCGAGCCACCAAGUUGCUCCGUGUGCCGCCGGCGCCCUUUUAGCCCCACCUCUCGCGGGUUUCUGUUCAUAUAUGAGAAGCGCAUCAGUUUUUUUUUCUUAUUCUAGAUGAGUAGCCCACCUAGCAGCGGUCGUUUUUUUCUCUUUUCGUAGGAAAAUUUUCAGUUACACUUAUUUAUUAGAAACCUAGAUUUAGAGACUUUUAGAAUAACUUUACUUCCUAGAACACAUCUCCCUUUGAAUUUAUAUGUCUAAUUUAACAACAAGUACUAAUCCAUUUUUCAGGCAAGCAGGCGAUUGGUGGACGGUCUACACUGUGGAUCCGGUGAGGUAGUAGGUUGUAUAGUUUGGAAUAUUACCACCGGUGAACUAUGCAAUUUUCUACCUUACCGGAGACAGAACUCUUCGAAGCUGCGUCGUCUUGCUCUCACAACUUUCUUUUCGUUUUCUUCCUCCUCUUACUUUCACCUCUUUGUUUUUCUUUAUUUUGUGCUAUCAAUUCGGAGUCGCAAGAACUGUAUUCGGUGAUCCCUAUUGAUAUUCUUUUGUACUGUAUUCGGAGAUAUUGUUUCACGAACUGUAUUCGGAGAACUGUUGUAUCGGUAAUGUAUCUGGAGAGAAUAAUCUAAUCGUAUGUACUGUUGAGUAAUGUAUCCAUGGAGCCGUUUGACAUUUCUAGUGGUAAGAUGUGCAAUAGUUCCAAUUGCUAGUCUUCACCAUUGUAGAUAGUGGAAAUCAUGUUUAUUUUCAGGGGAACCUCAUCUGCUGGGCAACUACUCCAACAUGCGUGUCGCCUAGGGAAUGCCGUCUGGCACCAAGUGGGCUGUCACCGCAAAUCAUCAGGAUCUCACACUUCUACCUCAACACCUCUACCUCAUCCGCAUCUACCUCGAUUGGACCUAUUUUUUUUAAAUUCUUCAAAUAAAAACUUUUUUAUAAUUUAAACAUUUGAACUUGCUCUUGAUAAUUAGAUAAAUUUUUUAUUUACAACA